RNAcentral lists this ribosomal RNA (301 nucleotides) under uncultured bacterium. RNAcentral's name for it is "partial 16S ribosomal RNA". It matches the Rfam family "Bacterial small subunit ribosomal RNA", at positions 509 to 807 of the family's 1533-position model. The record is from RNAcentral.
CAGUCGCCGCGGUAAUACGGAGGGGGCUAGCGUUGUUCGGAAUUACUGGGCGUAAAGCGCACGUAGGCGGCUUGAUAAGUUAGAGGUGAAAGCCCGGAGCUCAACUCCGGAAUUGCCUUUAAGACUGCCGAGCUAGUAGGUGAGAGAGGUAAGUGGAAUUCCGAGUGUAGAGGUGAAAUUCGUAGAUAUUCGGAAGAACACCAGUGGCGAAGGCGGCUCACUGGACGCGUAUUGACGCUGAGGUGCGAAAGCGUGGGGAGCAAACAGGAUUAGAGACCCCAGUAGUCCCUGUCUCUUAUAC